GCCUGUCCCUGCUGAACUUGAGUUCUUCAGGAAUUCCUCUGCAAGCCUAGGAACAGGGCUCCAGGGGGCGGCCCACCAGGACCCCACAUGCAGUGGGAUGAGGGCCCAUGUCGCGCAGCACGUUAGCGGUGAGCUCGGCGCCGUAGGCCUCCAGGUAGAAGCUGACCAGCUUGUCGGUGAGGUCCAAGGCGUCCAUGGACAGCAGUGCGCCCCGCGGGAUGCGCCCGUAGCCCUCGCGCAGCGGCACCGACAGCAGCUUCAGCUUGAACUUCUUGAGCUCCUCGGCGGUCAGGUUCUCCAGCGCAUCCAGGAUGGCGUCGCGCGCACGCCCCAUGGCUCCGGGAUCCCCGGCCGCUGCCGCCGCUCACCCUGCGGCCGCCGACAAGGAGGAAGUCGGCUCCGGGGCGGAACCUGGACUCCCCGCCUUCCUCCCACUCUGGUCUCCCGACUCCCCGCCCCGGUCCGUUGCCCUCCAGCAAAAGGCGCUUCCUGACUACACCCUUGGUCCCCUCCCACCCAGGCCUCUGGAUUGAGGCCCCAGGCCGUCGGGGGACGCCAGGAUCGCGCCCUCCAGCUGGCCUGCGAGGUGGGACCCGGGAGGGGGCCCGCAGAGGGGCUCAUGGGUGGCGCCUGCUUGUCUCUGGGCUUGCACCAGCGGGUAGAGACCAGAAACCUGGGCUGGCUCUCACUGGGUUUAUUGGAGCACCUAGGCUUAGAAUCUCGGAUUUCUAGAAUCCCGAAACCUCCGCGGUUCCUCUAACCUUAGGAUCCUCUCCCACAUGUGGUAGAAAAUUGGAAUCAUGACAGCUAGAAGCGUGAAGCUCCCUCAGUUCCAUAUACUGGGGAAAAAUGAGUUGUACAAAAGGGAAGAGAGUGCAAAUCUCUCUGAGCUUCAGUUUCAUUUUCUGCGACAUGGGGAUAACCCUCAGGUGCUUAUAAAUAUUCCAGCAUAACGUGGCCAACCCGAUGGCUCCCGAAACCUUGCCAGAUGCUUCCUAGGGAAGGCAGAAUUUGAUCCAGAGAGACAGCCUCCAGGAGAUUAAAGACCAUGAACUUGAAGCCAUA
Molecule: non-coding RNA, 1065 nt
Filed under: Pongo abelii (Sumatran orangutan)
Lineage: Eukaryota; Metazoa; Chordata; Mammalia; Primates; Hominidae
Source: RNAcentral